Molecule: ribosomal RNA, 489 nt
Filed under: uncultured bacterium
Lineage: Bacteria
Description: partial 16S ribosomal RNA
Rfam family: Bacterial small subunit ribosomal RNA
Source: RNAcentral
AUUGAACGCUGGCGGCAGGCCUAACACAUGCAAGUCGAACGGUAACAGGAAGCAGCUUGCUGCUUUGCUGACGAGUGGCGGACGGGUGAGUAAUGUCUGGGAAACUGCCCGAUGGAGGGGGAUAACUACUGGAAACGGUAGCUAAUACCGCAUAACGUCGCAAGACCAAAGAGGGGGACCUUAGGGCCUCUUGCCAUCGGAUGUGCCCAGAUGGGAUUAGCUAGUAGGUGGGGUAACGGCUCACCUAGGCGACGAUCCCUAGCUGGUCUGAGAGGAUGACCGCCCCCACGGAAACGAGACAAGGUCCCAAACCCUAAGGGGGGGCGGAGGUGGGAAAUUUGGACAAAGGGGGGAAGCCUGAUGGAGGCCAGGCGCGGGGAAUAAGAAGGCCCUCCGGUUUGAAAGUUACUUUCAGGGGGAGGAAGGGAGGUAAGUUAAUAACCUUGCCUCUUGACCGUACCCGCAGAAGAAGCACCGGCUAACUCCGUG